GUGGUAGUGGCUCAGAGGUAGAGUCGCCUAGCAUGCAUGAGGCACUGGGUUCAAUCCUCAGCACCACA
This 68-nucleotide transfer RNA is filed under the name Marmota monax (woodchuck). Its description in RNAcentral is "tRNA.Ala". Lineage: Eukaryota; Metazoa; Chordata; Mammalia; Rodentia; Sciuridae. The record is from RNAcentral.